CACGUAGGGUGCGAGCGUUGUCCGGAAUUAUUGGGCGUAAAGAGCGUGUAGGCGGCCAGGUAGGUCUGCUGUGAAAACUCGAGGCUUAACCUCGAGAUGUCGGCGGAAACCAUCUGGCUAGAGUCCGGAAGAGGAGAGUGGAAUUCCUGGUGUAGCGGUGAAAUGACGCAGAUAUCAGGAAGAACACCCGUGGCGAAGGCGGCUCUCUGGGACGGUACUGACGCUGAGACGCGAAAGCGUGGGGAGCGAACAG
This 253-nucleotide ribosomal RNA is filed under the name uncultured bacterium. RNAcentral's name for it is "partial 16S ribosomal RNA". It matches the Rfam family "Bacterial small subunit ribosomal RNA", at positions 524 to 775 of the family's 1533-position model. The record is from RNAcentral.